GCAGGUGCAUGCCUCUAGCAUGAAGUCAGACAAGUGAACCCGCUGAAUUUAAGCAUAUCAAUAAGCGGAGGAAAGGGCGAAUUCGUUUAAACCUGCAGGACUAGUCCCUUAGUGAGGGUAAU
This 122-nucleotide ribosomal RNA is filed under the name Symbiodinium sp. Amami3a. RNAcentral describes it as "partial 28S ribosomal RNA". Lineage: Eukaryota; Dinophyceae; Suessiales; Symbiodiniaceae. RNAcentral also lists the same sequence under 1 other name. The record is from RNAcentral.